Molecule: small nuclear RNA, 113 nt
Filed under: Phytophthora sojae strain P6497
Lineage: Eukaryota; Oomycota; Peronosporomycetes; Peronosporales; Peronosporaceae
Description: U5 spliceosomal RNA
Rfam family: U5 spliceosomal RNA
About the family: U5 RNA is a component of both types of known spliceosome.
Source: Rfam by way of RNAcentral
UUCCGCAGAGUUAAUUUCAUUCGCAUCACUCUUUCGCCUUUUACUAAAGAGCGCCGUGGGAUUGACUCACAAAAGCGGCUGCAAAAAAUUUCUUGAUCCCUCCACUGGAGGGG